GGGGAAUAUUGCACAAUGGAGGGAACUCUGAUGCAGCGACGCCGCGUGAGUGAUGAAGGCUUUCGAGUCGUAAAACUCUGUCCUUGGGGACGAUAAUGACGGUACCCAAGGAGGAAGCCCCGGCUAACUACGUGCCAGCAGCCGCGGUAAUACGUAGGGGGCGAGCGUUGUCCGGAAUUAUUGGGCGUAAAGGGUUCGCAGGCGGCCGAUUAAGUCAGAUGUGAAAUCCCACGGCUUAACCGUGGUAAGCAUUUGAAACUGAUUGGCUUGAGUUAAGGAGAGGAAAGUGGAAUUCCUAGUGUAGCGGUGAAAUGCGUAGAUAUUAGGAGGAAUACCAGUGGCGAAGGCGACUUUCUGGACUUAUACUGACGCUGAGGAACGAAAGCGUGGGGAGCAAAC
RNAcentral lists this ribosomal RNA (399 nucleotides) under uncultured bacterium. RNAcentral's name for it is "bacterial SSU rRNA". It matches the Rfam family "Bacterial small subunit ribosomal RNA", at positions 356 to 773 of the family's 1533-position model. The record is from RNAcentral.